GGGCCCGCACAAGCGGUGGAGCAUGUGGUUUAAUUCGAUGAUACGCGAGGAACCUUACCAGGGCUUAAAUGUAGUAUGACCGGUCUAGAAAUAGGCCUUCCCUUCGGGGCAGAUUACAAGGUGCUGCAUGGUUGUCGUCAGCUCGUGCCGUGAGGUGUUAGGUUAAGUCCUGCAACGAGCGCAACCCCUAUUCUUAGUUGCCAGCGGUUCGGCCGGGGACUCUAAGAAGACUGCCAGCGCAAGCUGAGAGGAAGGUGGGGAUGACGUCAAAUCAUCACGGCCCUUACGUCCUGGGCUACACACGUGCUACAAUGGUACAGACAGAGGGCAGCCACCUGGCGAGUAGGCGCG
This 351-nucleotide ribosomal RNA is filed under the name uncultured bacterium. RNAcentral describes it as "bacterial SSU rRNA". It matches the Rfam family "Bacterial small subunit ribosomal RNA", at positions 917 to 1269 of the family's 1533-position model. The record is from RNAcentral.